AUUGAACGCUGGCGGCAUGCCUAACACAUGCAAGUCGAACGGCAGCACGGGAGCUUGCUCCUGGUGGCGAGUGGCGGACGGGUGAGUAAUGCAUAGGAAUCUGCCCAGUAGCGGGGGACAACUUGGGGAAACUCAAGCUAAUACCGCAUGCGCCCUACGGGGGAAAGCGGGGGACCUUCGGGCCUCGCACUAUUGGAUGAGCCUAUGUCAGAUUAGCUUGUUGUGGGGUAACGGCCUACCAAGGCGACGAUCUGUAGCUGGUCUGAGAGGACGAUCAGCCACACUGGGACUGAGACACGGCCCAGACUCCUACGGGAGGCAGCGGUGGGGAAUAUUGCACAAUGGGCGAAAGCCUGAUGCAGCAAUGCCGCGUGUGUGAAGAAGGCCUGCGGGUUGUAAAGCACUUUCAGUAGGAGGAAACAGUAGCCGGUUAAUAUCCGGUUGCCUUGACGUUACCUACAGAAGAAGCACCGGCUAACU
This 480-nucleotide ribosomal RNA is filed under the name uncultured bacterium. Its description in RNAcentral is "bacterial SSU rRNA". It matches the Rfam family "Bacterial small subunit ribosomal RNA", at positions 30 to 502 of the family's 1533-position model. The record is from RNAcentral.